Molecule: non-coding RNA, 72 nt
Organism: Gymnothorax javanicus (giant moray)
Lineage: Eukaryota; Metazoa; Chordata; Actinopteri; Anguilliformes; Muraenidae
Source: the annotation of a GenBank genome assembly
GGCACGGUGGCACAGUGGUUAGCACUGCUGCCUCACAUGCAGGAUUUGUAGGUUCAAAUCCAGCCUGGGGCC